AAACUAACAAGGAUUCCCCUAGUAACGGCGAGUGAAGCGGGAAGAGCUCAAAUUUGUAAUCUGGCACUUUCAGUGUCCGAGUUGUAAUCUCGAGAAGUAUUUUCCGCGCCGGACUGCAUACAAGUCUGUUGGAAUACAGCGUCAUAGUGGUGAGAACCCCGUAACUGAUGCAGAUGCCCGGUGCUUUGUGAUAUACUUUCGAAGAGUCGAGUUGUUUGGGAAUGCAGCUCAAAUUGGGUGGUAAAUUCCAUCUAAAGCUAAAUAUUGGAGCAAGACCGAUAGCGAACAAGUACCGUGAGGGAAAGAUGAAAAGCACUUUGGAAAGAGAGUUAACAGUACGUGAAAUUGUUGGAAGGGAAACGCUUGAAGUCAGACUUGCUAUUCGGAGUUCAGCCGCAAGGUGUAUUCUUCGAUUUGCAGGCCAGCAUCAGUUUUCGGGGGGUGGAAAAUCGUGGUUUGAAGGUAGCAACUUCGGUUGUGUUAUAGCUUUCCACUGGAUUCAUCUUUGGGGGACUGAGGAACGCAGUACGCUUUUUGCAAGGCCCUCGGGCUUUUCGUACUUAGGAUGCUGGUGGAAUGGCUUUAAACGACCCGUCUUGAAACACG
This 606-nucleotide ribosomal RNA is filed under the name Leucosporidium muscorum. Its description in RNAcentral is "eukaryotic LSU rRNA". It matches the Rfam family "Eukaryotic large subunit ribosomal RNA", at positions 62 to 663 of the family's 3401-position model. Lineage: Eukaryota; Fungi; Basidiomycota; Microbotryomycetes; Leucosporidiales; Leucosporidiaceae. The record is from RNAcentral.